RNAcentral lists this unclassified non-coding RNA (240 nucleotides) under soil metagenome. RNAcentral describes it as "partial contains 5.8S ribosomal RNA, internal transcribed spacer 2, and large subunit ribosomal RNA". The record is from RNAcentral.
AACCAUUCUCACCUGCGGCUAGACCUGCGGAAGGAUCAUUACAGAGUUGCAAAACUCCCUAAACCAUUGUGAACGUUACCUAAACCGUUGCUUCGGCGGGCGGCGCGCCCUCGCGCGCGCCCCUGGGCCCCACCGCGGGCGCCCGCCGGAGGUCACCAAACUCUUGAUAUUAAUUGGCCUCUCUGAGUCUUCUGUACUGAAUAAGUCAAAACUUUUAACAAUGGAUCUCAGAUCGGAAGA